RNAcentral lists this ribosomal RNA (103 nucleotides) under uncultured bacterium. RNAcentral describes it as "partial 16S ribosomal RNA". The record is from RNAcentral.
CCGCGUGUGCGAUGAAGGCCUUCGGGUUGUUAAAGCACUGUCGAGGGGGAGGGAAGGGCGAACUUGACCGACCCCUCGGAGGAAGCACGGGCUAAGUUCGUGC